GAUGUGAAAAAAGGCCAUUUUUCAUAUUCAGCCCCCCACACACACAUCUCUGAACUAAGGUGGCCUGGUUGAAGACGAAGUGUUGAGUUUAUUAACACACUCAGGGUUGCGCCAUGAAGCCUCACCACGGACUCUGCUUCUCUCACCCAACCUGCCAAGAGCCACAGAGCCACAUGGCUGGCUUCCUGAAAACUCACCUGGGAAGUAAGCCACAGGCCUGAUCAGAUCCAGGACUGCUGGAAUCCACGCAAGGGCCAGGGAGGGUAGAAUUGGGUGGCGGGAGGGAACACCGAUGCCCACCUUGCUCUGUUUGACACGUACGUGAAGUGGGGGGGGAGGGACCAUGGCAUCCAUGUGCUGCUGUGAGUAAUAAAGGCGGUACUGGGACUUCCCUGGCCGUCCAGUGGUUAGGACUGCGCUUUCCGUUGCAGGGGGCACGGGUUCCAUCCCUGGUCGGGGAACUAAGAUCCCGCAUGCCACCCGUUGUGGGUGGCCAAAAAAAAAUUUUUUAAUAAAAAAAUAAAGGCAGCACCACCAGGAGCCGCCUCCUGCCUUGGCGAGCACUCCCUGACUCCCUGCAUGAGACCUGUAAUUGCAGUGGCUGCAGGCCCGGGGUCAGGUUCAGGCCAGCACGGGGUUCUGGGAAGGGGCACACCCCCAGUGAGGAGUGAGAUACCCUUGUGGUGCUGCCAGCCCUGCUGGGCCCAUAGACAACGCUGACCAGUAAACCCUACUCCAGGUUCCCCACCAUGCAUCCCAGGGGUGGGAGUUAAAAUUGUCCCUAAUGUGACCAUCUGCCCUGCCCUGGCCUCGGGCUUUGUGCAGGCACCGAACUCAAACACCAGAUAGCAGUGUGUUCUUGAGAGUGAGCUCAGUAGAAGGUUAGGGUUUUAUUCUGGCCUGUUUGGAAGAAAUAAGAAAAACACAUUUAAAUUCCAUCUCAUCCAUUAACAGACACAUGUUUCUGACUGGUGAUCUGUCCAGUUCUUGACCCUUUUUCCAUCCUACGUAACGGGGGAUCGAAAUAGCGAUUGACUCAGUUACAGUCCCCACCCCCUACCCCCCCCCCCCAUUCUCCCUGCUUUGUUCAGGCCUUUGGGGGCGGAAGAGACAUUCUGGAGUCUCAGAGUCUGUGUCAGAGUUAAAUAAAUUACAGUGCUGUGUUUCUA
Molecule: long non-coding RNA, 1169 nt
Filed under: Phocoena sinus (vaquita)
Lineage: Eukaryota; Metazoa; Chordata; Mammalia; Artiodactyla; Phocoenidae
Description: lncRNA (ENSPSNG00000022597.1)
Source: RNAcentral